Molecule: ribosomal RNA, 274 nt
Filed under: uncultured bacterium
Lineage: Bacteria
Description: partial 16S ribosomal RNA
Rfam family: Bacterial small subunit ribosomal RNA
Source: RNAcentral
UACGUAGGGGGGCGAGCGUUGUCCGGAGUUACUGGGCGUAAAGCGCACGCAGGCGGUCUGCUAAGUUUGGAGUGACAGUUGGUGGCUUAACUGCCAAAAGUGCUUCGAAAAACUGACAGACUUGAGGGCUUCAGAGGGACACGGAAUUCCGGGUGUAGCGGUGGAAUGCGUAGAGAUCCGGAAGAACACCGGUGGCGAAGGCGGCCCGCUGGGCAGGAAGACACCGCAAGGUGUCGGCUGACGCUGAGGCGCGACAGCGUGGGGAGCAAACAGG